GAUGAACGCUGGCGGCGUGCCUAAUACAUGCAAGUCGAGCGAACGGACGAGAAGCUUGCUUCUCUGAUGUUAGCGGCGGACGGGUGAGUAACACGUGGAUAACCUACCUAUAAGACUGGGAUAACUUCGGGAAACCGGAGCUAAUACCGGAUAAUAUUUUGAACCGCAUUGUUCAAAAGUGAAAGACGGUCUUGCUGUCACUUAUAGAUGGAUCUGCGCUGCAUUAGCUAGUUGGUAAGGUAACGGCUUACCAAGGCAACGAUGCAUAGCCGACGUGUGAGGGGGAUAGGCCACAUUGGAGCUGGGACGGGGACCAGAGUCCUGAGGGAGGGAGCAGUAGGGAAUGUGCGGCAAUGGGGGAGAGCCUGACGGAGCAACGCGGCGUGAGUGAUGAAAGUCUUGGGAGCGUAAAGCUCGGUUAUGAGGGAAGAACAGAUGUGUAAGUUAAUGUGGAGAGCUUGACGGUACUUGAUCAGAAAGCAACGGCUAACUACGUG
This 497-nucleotide ribosomal RNA is filed under the name uncultured bacterium. RNAcentral's name for it is "partial 16S ribosomal RNA". It matches the Rfam family "Bacterial small subunit ribosomal RNA", at positions 28 to 507 of the family's 1533-position model. The record is from RNAcentral.